UACCCAUAUGCUUCGUUCAAGGGCUCCUUCAUGCAUGUCUCAAAGCAAAUGGUUAAAAACAGUGGGUCUGUGAAUGGCUCCUUACAUCACCAGUCACCUGGGUGGUAAUUCCAACACAGUGGGACAUCCUCCAAAACCUGGUGGCUAAUACCCAAAUCAACUGGCCCACACAAAAGGAAGGGUGUACAAUUGUGCACUCUGUGUGUGGAGCUUGCUACCACCUUAAAUACAAACUGGCACCCACAACCUGACCCUAUCAAAUUUGUACAGGGUAAAUUGUUGUUGACCCAGGCUGGUGACACUAACACCUUUGGCACUCUUAAAUGGUGUUCAAUUAUUUUAUUUGCUUGACCACCCGGGCUUCUGACCUAUCACCUAAACUGUGGUGCAAUGGACCACAUUGGCACUUACGGGUAACGGGGAAUCAGGGUUCAACUCCGGAGAGGGAGCCUGAAAAAGGGCUACC
RNAcentral lists this ribosomal RNA (466 nucleotides) under uncultured eukaryote. RNAcentral describes it as "bacterial SSU rRNA". It matches the Rfam family "Eukaryotic small subunit ribosomal RNA", at positions 21 to 411 of the family's 1831-position model. The record is from RNAcentral.